AUUGGAAGGGGUGUAUUUAUUAGAUAAAAAACCAACGCCCUUCGGGGCUCCUUGGUGAAUCACAAUAACUUAACGAAUCGCAUGGCCUUGCGCCGGCGAUGGUUCAUUCAAAUUUCUGCCCUAUCAACUUUCGAUGGUAGGAUAGUGGCCUACCAUGGUGGCAACGGGUAACGGGGAAUUAGGGUUCGACUCCGGAGAGGGAGCCUGAGAAACGGCUACCACAUCCAAGGAAGGCAGCAGGCGCGCAAAUUACCCAAUCCCGAUACGGGGAGGCAGUGACAAUAAAUACUGAUACGGGGCUCUUUCGGGUCUCGUAAUUGGAAUGAGAACAAUUUAAAUCCCUUAACGAGGAACAAUUGGAGGGCAAGUCUGGUGCCAGCAGCCGCGGUAAUUCCAGCUCCAAUAGCGUAUAUUAAAGUUGUUGCAGUUAAAAAGCUCGUAGUUGAACCUUGGGCCCGUCCUGCCGGUCCGCCUCACCGCGAGUACUGGUCCGGAUGGGCCUUUCUUUCUGGGGAAUCCCAUGGCCUUCACUGGCUGUGGCGGGGAACCAGGACUUUUAC
This 560-nucleotide ribosomal RNA is filed under the name uncultured fungus. Its description in RNAcentral is "SSU rRNA". It matches the Rfam family "Eukaryotic small subunit ribosomal RNA", at positions 191 to 755 of the family's 1831-position model. The record is from RNAcentral. Lineage: Eukaryota; Fungi.